CCUCUUCCACAUCGCCUCCACCCCCCCCCCCCCCCGCUUUACCCAUCAGACCAUCGGCUAAAGCUGAUUUCGGCAUCACUUACACCGCUUCCCAUCAACCCCUGUCCCUUCGUCCCCUUUUCUUCAAGUGACAGAGCUUCGAACAGCUCGUCCAAAGUCGAAUCAGCCCCCAAAUCAAAAAGAACGCGAACAUCUUUGGGAUUCCAGACCGUUCUUCCAACAAUCCAUAGGGUAAAGGUUUGUUUCGGUCCAUGGAGCCUAAAACCAUGAAGAAUCCACUAAAUUCGGAGUCCCACUGAAUUUGCAGCCUUCAAAUCGCUCUGAAAAGUUCUCGACUCCACAACAAGCUUUUCAAGCGGAAUCGAAUACUCGACGACGACAAUAGCCUCAGUUCGCUGUCAUGGAGAAGCACCGGGUGUCCGAGUCUCUUUGAGCCCCGACUAAUCCCGGGGGUGCACAGGCCCUCAGCAAGGAGUUUCCCGCAAGUGCACCACGGUUAAUUCAGGGUUUCCCCAGUCCGAUGGCCCCCAGAAAUUGUUUGCACCUAGCGGGUUUCGAACUUGAGACCCUGAAGGGGAGCACUCCAAGGCUCAAGUCAAUUGCCACCAGGCCAACCCCUGAGGGUUAAUUUCUUCUUUUUUUUUCUCUGAACCAUUUGCUUCUCCUUCUAGCCAUUUCAUGAAUGUUGAACACAUAUAUGAAUCCGGCGGCUGUUCUUACCAUAGGCAGUGUGUCCUUGAAAUGAUGGUAUAAUGUGUCUAAUUUAUUAAAGUUUAGGAGUUGUUUUGUCAUUUUCUUUUAGGAUUCUAAAAAAAAUGUGCUAUUUGAGUUGUCUUUUGCUGAGAAUUUGAAAUUUGAUUACUGGAAGUUGUAUAUCCGGGCCCCUUUAUUAUUG
Lycium barbarum (goji berry) is the source of this 895-nucleotide long non-coding RNA. RefSeq lists it as uncharacterized. Lineage: Eukaryota; Viridiplantae; Streptophyta; Magnoliopsida; Solanales; Solanaceae. The record is from RefSeq and is a predicted model, not a curated record. The transcript is spliced from 3 exons.